UAGGGAAUCUUCGGCAAUGGGGGGAACCCUGACCGAGCAACGCCGCGUGAGUGAAGAAGGUUUUCGGAUCGUAAAGCUCUGUUGUUAAGGAAGAACGAGUGUGAGAAUGGAAAGUUCAUACUGUGACGGUACUUAACCAGAAAGGGACGGCUAACUACGUGCCAGCAGCCGCGGUAAUACGUAGGUCCCGAGCGUUGUCCGGAUUUAUUGGGCGUAAAGCGAGCGCAGGCGGUCAAUUAAGUCUGAUGUGAAAGCCCCCGGCUCAACCGGGAGGGUCAUUGGAAACUGGUUGACUUGAGUGCAGAAGAGGAGAGUGGAAUUCCAUGUGUAGCGGUGAAAUGCGUAGAUAUAUGGAGGAACACCAGUGGCGAAGGCGACUCUCUGGUCUGUAACUGACGCUGAGGUUCGAAAGCGUGGGUAGCAAACAGG
This 429-nucleotide ribosomal RNA is filed under the name Bacteroidota bacterium. Its description in RNAcentral is "Bacteroidetes bacterium partial 16S ribosomal RNA". It matches the Rfam family "Bacterial small subunit ribosomal RNA", at positions 355 to 776 of the family's 1533-position model. Lineage: Bacteria; Pseudomonadati; Bacteroidota. The record is from RNAcentral.